RNAcentral lists this ribosomal RNA (827 nucleotides) under uncultured bacterium. RNAcentral's name for it is "bacterial SSU rRNA". It matches the Rfam family "Bacterial small subunit ribosomal RNA", at positions 74 to 895 of the family's 1533-position model. The record is from RNAcentral.
GGGGGCUUGCUCCCGGGUUAGUGGCGAACGGGUGAGUAAUAUAUCGGAACAUAUCCGGAAGUGGGGGAUAACGUAGCGAAAGUUACGCUAAUACCGCAUAUGCCCUGAGGGGGAAAGGGGGGGAUCGCAAGACCUCUCGCUUUCGGAGUGGCCGAUACCGGAUUAGCUAGACGGUGAGGUAAAGGCUCACCAUGGCGACGAUCCGUAGCUGGUCUGAGAGGACGACCAGCCACACUGGAACUGAGACACGGUCCAGACUCCUACGGGAGGCAGCAGUGGGGAAUUUUGGACAAUGGGCGAAAGCCUGAUCCAGCCAUACCGCGUGAGUGAAGAAGGCCUUCGGGUUGUAAAGCUCUUUCAGCCGGAAAGAAAUCGCACUUUUUAAUACGGAGUGUGGAUGACGGUACCGGAAGAAGAAGCACCGGCUAACUACGUGCCAGCAGCCGCGGUAAUACGUAGGGUGCGAGCGUUAAUCGGAAUUACUGGGCGUAAAGCGUGCGCAGGCGGUUUGAUAAGCCAGAUGUGAAAUCCCCGGGCUUAACCUGGGAACUGCAUUUGGAACUGUCAGACUAGAGUGUAGCAGAGGGGGGUAGAAUUCCACGUGUAGCAGUGAAAUGCGUAGAUAUGUGGAGGAAUACCAAUGGCGAAGGCAGCCCCCUGGGUUAACACUGACGCUCAUGCACGAAAGCGUGGGGAGCAAACAGGAUUAGAUACCCUGGUAGUCCACGCCCUAAAACGAUGUCAACUAGUUGUUGGGGGAGGAGACUUCCUUAGUAACGCAGCUAACGCGUGAAGUUGACCGGCCUGGGGAGUACGUCCGUCAGAUU